GCUUAUUUUUUCUGUUCUGGUGGAGGUGAUAUAUAUAUUUAUACCAACACACACACACAAUGUCGAAUGUCCCCUUAUUAAGAUGUCUUGCACUUUGUACAGCAACAGCUGGAGCCCUGGUUGGUGCACUUUAUUAUUUUGAUCAGUGGGAUAAAGGAAGUACAGAGGUUAUCGAGCAGGGCUCAGUUCCGUAUAUUUCUGAGAAUGUAGACGAAAAUAAGGCCUACAAGAUUUUGGAACGUGCUGAACUUUCAGGGUCAUUGGCUGAUGUUCCAGAUAAAAAGAGUAAACAGUAUGAAAAAAAGUGAGAAUUGUGAGGAAGAGCAUAAGUAUGAGGACGUACUAAAGGAUAAGAAGAAGUUACAAAAG
This is a long non-coding RNA of Clarias gariepinus (North African catfish), 369 nucleotides long. RefSeq lists it as uncharacterized. The record is from RefSeq and is a predicted model, not a curated record. The transcript has 3 exons. NCBI's taxonomy places the organism in Eukaryota, Metazoa, Chordata, Actinopteri, Siluriformes, Clariidae.